Molecule: ribosomal RNA, 253 nt
Filed under: uncultured bacterium
Lineage: Bacteria
Description: partial 16S ribosomal RNA
Rfam family: Bacterial small subunit ribosomal RNA
Source: RNAcentral
GACAGAGGACACAAGCAUUGCUCGGAAUUAUUGGGCGUAAAGGGUACGUAGGCUGAUGUAUAAGUUUAUAGUGAAAUCUUGAAAGGUAAAUUCAAAACUGCUGUAAAUACUAUAUAUCUAGAAAUUGGGAGAGGUAAAUGGAAUUCUUGUAGGAAGGGUCAAAUCUAUAUAUCACAGGAGGAACACCAAAGGCGAAGGCAAUUUACUGGAACAACUUUGACGCUGAGGUACGAAAGCGUGGGUAGCAAACAGG